CUGACAAGGAGAAGACUGAGCUCCAAGCAAGUCAUAUUCCUAGAGACAGGAACCUGGGCAAGGUCAUUGUGUGAAAUGAUGAAAUGCAUCUUCAUAAGAAAGUGCAAGAACUUGAAUUUGAGAAGAAAAAUAUAAAAGGAAAAAUAUUCUAGAGUCAGAUAUGGAAAUCACUGUGUCAGAUUAUGAAGCUGGAAUUUAUUCUUUGAAAAAUAGAAGAAAACAAGAUAAACAAAAUGAUGAAGAAUGCAUUGCUGCUGCUUUAACAAUACUCAGAGAUGUUAUCACCAAAAGCCAUCAGCAACUGCCACAUGAGGCAGUCCCUACAAGGAGAGCAUUGCCUUCUGGUAUAUUGUGACAAGCUCAUCUGCAUGCAUGCACGAGUUCAUAUAGGACUGACAUUUUUGAAAGAACACCACAGCUUGAGAAAUAGAAAGAAGCUUUAGAUCAUCCAAUCCAGGCUCCUCCGCUCCUUCACUCUGCACUUCUUCCUGCUACC
Molecule: long non-coding RNA, 496 nt
Organism: Cercocebus atys (sooty mangabey)
Lineage: Eukaryota; Metazoa; Chordata; Mammalia; Primates; Cercopithecidae
Exons: 4
Source: RefSeq, a predicted model, not a curated record